This 253-nucleotide ribosomal RNA is filed under the name uncultured bacterium. Its description in RNAcentral is "partial 16S ribosomal RNA". It matches the Rfam family "Bacterial small subunit ribosomal RNA", at positions 524 to 776 of the family's 1533-position model. The record is from RNAcentral.
UACGAAGGGGGCUAGCGUUGUUCGGAAUUACUGGGCGUAAAGCGUAUGCAGGCGGACUUUUAAGUCGGGGGUGAAAUCCCGAGGCUCAACCUCGGAACUGCCUUCGAUACUGGAAGUCUUGAGUCCGGGAGAGGUGAGUGGAACUCCGAGUGUAGAGGUGAAAUUCGUAGAUAUUCGGAAGAACACCAGUGGCGAAGGCGGCUCACUGGCCCGGUACUGACGCUGAGAUACGAAAGCGUGGGGAGCAAAUGGG